RNAcentral lists this ribosomal RNA (208 nucleotides) under uncultured bacterium. RNAcentral's name for it is "partial 16S ribosomal RNA". It matches the Rfam family "Bacterial small subunit ribosomal RNA", at positions 1293 to 1500 of the family's 1533-position model. The record is from RNAcentral.
UCGGAUUGUAGUCUGCAACCCGACUACAUGAAGCUGGAAUCGCUAGUAAUCGCGAAUCAGAAUGUCGCGGUGAAUACGUUCCCGGGUCUUGUACACACCGCCCGUCACACCAUGGGAGUCGGAAAUGCCCGAAGUCAGUGACCCAACCGUAAGGAGGGAGCUGCCGAAGGUGGAGCCGGUAACCGGGGUGAAGUCGUAACAAGGUACC